GAACCCUUGGCACAGUGGUAGCGCGUGAGAUUCCAGUUGGUGGAGCAAUCCACCUGAGGGCAUCCUCAAGGUCGUCCGUUCGAUCCGGGCAGGGUUCA
RNAcentral lists this transfer RNA (98 nucleotides) under Cubamyces sp. BRFM 1775. Its description in RNAcentral is "Leiotrametes sp. BRFM 1775 tRNA-Trp". It matches the Rfam family "tRNA". Rfam says of the family: Transfer RNA (tRNA) molecules are approximately 80 nucleotides in length. Lineage: Eukaryota; Fungi; Basidiomycota; Agaricomycetes; Polyporales; Polyporaceae. The record is from RNAcentral.